This 253-nucleotide ribosomal RNA is filed under the name uncultured bacterium. RNAcentral's name for it is "partial 16S ribosomal RNA". It matches the Rfam family "Bacterial small subunit ribosomal RNA", at positions 524 to 776 of the family's 1533-position model. The record is from RNAcentral.
CACGUAGGGGGCAAGCGUUGUUCGGAAUUACUGGGCGUAAAGCGCGCGUAGGCGGCUUUGUAAGUUAGAGGUGAAAGCCCGGAGCUCAACUCCGGAACUGCCUUUAAAACUGCAUCGCUUGAAUCCAGGAGAGGUGAGUGGAAUUCCGAGUGUAGAGGUGAAAUUCGUAGAUAUUCGGAAGAACACCAGUGGCGAAGGCGGCUCACUGGACUGGUAUUGACGCUGAGGUGCGAAAGCGUGGGGAGCGAUCCGG